This 399-nucleotide ribosomal RNA is filed under the name Triticum aestivum (bread wheat). Its description in RNAcentral is "partial small subunit ribosomal RNA". The record is from RNAcentral. Lineage: Eukaryota; Viridiplantae; Streptophyta; Magnoliopsida; Poales; Poaceae.
CUAAACACCAUUAUUGUGAUCUCAAAUCUCUUUUGCCAUGUUAUAAUGACAUAAAUACCUAUGAACCAACAUGCCAGCUCUCCCUCUAUCUCACUACAAUAAAGUAUGGGGCCCACUUGAUCCCAACAGCGUUCUUAUUUUCCUGUAAAAUUAUUUGCUUGGUUACUCCUGACAAGUGGGGCCACACAUAUCAUUGUGAGAUAGAGAGAACUGACAUGUGGGUCUAGGCUUAUUUUUGUCAUAGAACAUGGUCAACGGGUUUGACGUAAAAAUAACAAUGUCUAAUGGCAUUUUUGAGCAAACAUCUAACAGAACGAUGGCAUUUUUGAGAUAUCUAAUGGCAUUUUUGAGCAAGCAUCUCACGGAUUGAUGGCAUUUUUGAGCAGUUGUAACUUCUAA